CUCAGUGCCAGCAGUUGUCAAGACCCUUCUAGGACAAAAUCAGAAGAACUCAUGUCAUUUCACUGACUAACAUACCCAUUUUUCUCAAACAACACUAAACAUUUAUAUAGGUAAGUAAUUAUUCUUUAUUAAUGAAUUCAUUUAUAACUAUAUAACUAUUGGCUUACAUAACUAUUAAUAACUUAAUGUUAAAUUAUUACUAUGUUUGGCUAUAUAAUUUCCUCCCAUGCAUGCCCCCUGAAGAGUGUUUAAUCCAAAAGAUUUACUUUAUGUCUUUGUUCCACUAUAUUAGAGAAAACAAUAUAUGAUGUUUUUGAGUGGCUCUUAUUUAAUAUCUUAGAUUUAAACAUAACACAUAAUGGGGAAUGCAUAAUGUUUUCUGAAAAUAUUGAGAAAUGUACUGAGAAAUGUUUAGUAACAUUAUUUUGCUACUAUAAUGUUUUUUAUAUUUUAUAAUAUUUGUGUCUAGCUUCCUAAACAAUAAUUUUAUGUAGGCAUCUUUAAUUUUGUAAACAAGUUUUAAUAGAGAAAUGUUCUAAAUAUUGUGCUUCUGACGAUCUUAGCAAGCAACCUAAAUAAUAUUUUUGUAAUAUUAGUUUGUGUGUUUGCAUGUUUAUAUGCGUGCUCAUACAUCCUACAAAGUAAUAAUAUAUUGGGUAAUCUAUGCUGUGUAAAAUCUAUAGCAUUGUGAGGAUUAAGCUAAAUUACUUUUAUUGGCAUAGCGACAUUAGCAUUGUGACAUGGUCUCAUAUUGAUUUAAGGACUCCUUUUAAAACACAAUAAAAUAAUGAGGCAUUAUCAUGAAAAAAUGUUUCCCUGUUGUCCAACUCAUUUUAGGCACCAUAAUCAUUAUAGCCAAUGAAAUGUGAAUGAAAUUCAUAUUACUUAUGUGGACGUGUAACUUCCAUGUUAGCAAUAGAUGAGAAGAAGGCCAGGGGUGCCUCAUGGAUCGUUGGUUAUGGUCAAACUGCUCAAAAACGGUUUGACCAAGAACUGGGAGAUGGUAAAAGUAGAGAUAAGCAUAUAGUAAUUAUGGUGCGAAGAUUGCCCUUUUAAAAUUACAGUUCUGCUUUAGUCCAAUUUUAGAUUUUAUUUCAUACAGUUUGGAUUGCAUGGGUGAAAAGCAGUCAUCUAUGCUUAUUUAGCAAUAAAUAAAAUGAUAUGAUAUUGUUAGGAUUUAAUUAGCACUAGCCCCAAAAAGUGACCUAUUAUUUAUGCUAACAAUGGGAAGGGAAAUAAAGAAGCAAUCCCAAGCAUUAUGACUGUUAUUUCCAUAUAAGUAUACACACAAACCUGAUUUGCAUAACAUCCUUUAUCUACUUGCUUCUCAUUAUUACUCUAAUGCAAACGGCUGUAUAGAAAUAUUAAAAAAAUAAAUAAUAAUAAUACAAUAACAUAUCUCAUGCUACCUGCUGCAACUAAGUUGAUCAUGAUUCUAUUUAUUUUUUGGUUAAAAUACUUGUUUUUUACUAUGUAACAUUCCUUCUAAUUUGUGACUGAUUUCCCCCGAAAACCUCAAUUAACUGGGAAAAAUACUUCAACAGGCUCAUGACCCAUCUCUCUUGCCAUGACAUUGACAGAAACAGUACCCAAUAUAAAAUGUUCAUAUAGUAAAAUUUCUGUGACAGUACGCAAGUAAUUUAUUUUAGUUUUGAUUUUCCUAAUGAACUAGAAUUACAUGUUAAGGCUUACCAUCCCAAAUAAUGGUCCAUAAAUAUUACUGGCACUCAGAGUAUUGACAUUUCAACCAGCAACAAUCGGGUUUUAAAAUUAUCUUGGACAUCUAGGCUUGAUAUUCUUCUGUUACCAAAUACCAAAUAAGAUGUAAGCCAAGCAACAUAGUUUUACAUCAAUGCUAUUACUGGACAGAGUUAUCCUCUGGGUAGGUUAAUAGUGAAUGAGACAGAAUUUGCUUGGCUUCUUUUCUGGUGUGACAACUGGAGGAGAUAGCUACACGUUAACAGCAAGAUUACCUUGAACAUUCACAGAUGAAUGUCAUUUGCCAUAUUACCCUGGAAAAUUACAUCAUGUUCCAUAGUUGAACACAUAUGUACUCACUACCAAAAGCAUUGCCUCUGACUUAAAGGGACACUAUAGUCCCCAAAACAACGUUAGCUUAAUGAAUCAGUUUUGGUGUAUAGAUCGUGCACCUGCAAUCUCAUUGCUCAAUUAUCUGCCAUAUAGGGGUUAAAUCACUUUGUUUAUGCAGCCCUUGUUCACGCCUAUUUGCAUGCGACUUACACAGCCUUCCUAAACACUUACAUAAUGUAUACACUUCCUCUAUAAACUCUGUUUAAUUUAGAAUUUCACACCUCCUGAUCUGUUAGUAGCUUGCUAUAUCCUGUAGAAGGCUCCUGUAUGUAAUUAAAGUUCAUUUACAGAGCAAGAGAUACAAACUUUCAAAGUAAGUUAACAUCUAAUUGAAAAUUAAACCAUUUUGUUUCCAUGCAGGCUAUGCCAGUCACAGCCAGGAGAGUUGUGGCUAGGGCUGAAAAAACAGAAACAAAAUUAUUUAACUUCUUCAUGGCAGUGAACUGAGCAGUCAGAUUUCAGAGGCAGGAUCUAUGCACAAAAACUGCUUCAAUAAGCUAAAGUUGUUUUUCUGACAAUAGUGUCCCUGUAAUGUUGUUUGAAAGGAAACUCCAAAAAUACAUAUAAUUUGUAGUUCAUAUUGUUGUUGUUGUUAUUGCCAUUUAUAUAGCACCAACAUAUUCCAUAGCGCUGUUCAAUAUUAUAAGAGGGGGGGGGGGGAUGUAACUAUAAAUAGGACAAUUACAAGAAAACUUACAGGAACAAUAGGUUGAAGAGGAUCCUGCUCAAAUGAGCUAGUCUAUAGGAGGUGGGAUAUAAGACAUGUUAGGACAGGAAAUAUCAAUCAAUUAGGGUGGGAAAGAAGCAGAGCUGGAGGAGAAAGUAUAUAUAUUUAAUUAUUACAGAAAAUAUGCGUUUAUUAACAUUUGCAUAUUUUCUAUGCCCUACAAGUUUGGAGUCAUUAGUAGAUAUGAUCUUUGAGGUUAAUGAAAACUUACCACCUUUUGCCCAGCGCUAGGCACUUUCCAGUAAAGGCAUUGUAAAGAGAUGGGUAAUUCAUGUAGAUUUAAGGUUUGUAUAUAAAAAAUGUUUUUAAAAAUAAAUAAAUAAAAAUACAAUCUCAGCCAACCACUUGAUUGGUAUUAUAUUCCACAUAAGCCUUUAAUCAAAGGGUUGCUUUACUAUUCGAUAGUAGCAUGUAUAUUUUUUGACUCCCACCAGCCACAGCCAAAAUGUCACACAACAUGAUAGAGGUCCAGCAAGGGUAGACAAAUAAUUGCACUAAUUUUGAUGGGACAUAAAUUCUAAACAUAGUGUUUGUGCUUUUUAUUUCUCUGACCUCAGUGCUGAAUUAAUGUAAGGGUAUUGGAACUGCAGCUGGGGGCCCAUAAUUGAUUGUUUAAAAAAAAUAAAAAAUAAUCUUUAUUGCUCUACAUAUAAAUAAAAAAUGUCUGGGUCACAAAAGUACAGGAAUGACAAUAAAGUGCUAUUAUCAAUAAUAUACAGUAGGUGUGGGUAAAUAAAAUAGUCCAAAUCAGUCUUAAAAAUAGUCCAAAAUUGUUUCUAAAUUAUUCUGACUAACCCUUUAAAAUGAAUUUUGCUAUGAUGGGUAGAAGAUUUCUACAGGAUUAUACCACUAAACGCUAUCAGAACUGGAGCUGGUCAUAGCUCCACAAAAUGUGAGUAAGUGAUCAUUGUUUUAUUACCUAUUAGUCAUUUAAGUUUACAUAUUGCACUAUUGCAUUUCUCGUAAUCCAUACAUUAUGUCUUGCAUAAUGGAUUACACUAAGAGAUCUUCUACCCAUCAUAUUCGCAGAUACAAGGACGAACUGCCAAACCAUGAAUUCCUAUGGCACUGCAAAAUUCAUUUUAAAGGGUUACUCAUAAUAAUUUAUAGACUACUUUGGAAAUUUUUUAAGACUGAUUUGGACUGUUUUAUUUACCCAUGCCUACUGUAUAAUAAUAAUAAUUGAUAAUAGCACUUUGUCAUUCCUGUACUUUUGGGGCACAGCCAUUUUUUCUUUGUUGUUCUUGUUGAUCUACUGAAGGGUUUAGAGGCAUCCCCUUCUUUUAGUUUGCUGCCUUAAUUUUGAUUUAAUUAGCUCUAAACCUGCUCCUUUUUUCCCUGUAUUACUCUACAUAUGCUUUUUCUCUAUGCUGUUGUGCACGGGGAAGCAUAGGCUUGCGCAGCCUAUUGCAUUAGGGUGUGCACCCUAAACCACAAACACACGCCGCAUAUAUAUAUAUACAUACACACAUAUGCAUAUAUAUACAGCCAAAAGUACAUACACACAUACGCAUAGAUAUAUAUACAUACACACAUAUACAUACACUGCUGUUAGUGUGCUGUGUGUGUAAGGGUGCUGUGUGUGUGUGUGUGUGUAAGGGUGCUGUGUGUGAGGGCGAUGUUAGUGUGAUGUGUGUGUGAGGGUGCUGGUAGUGUGCUAUGUGGGUGAGGGUAUUUGUCUGUGUGUUUGUGAGGGUGCUGUUAGUGUGCUGUGUGUGUGAGGGUGUUUGUCUGUGUGUGUUUGUUAGGGUCCUGUUAGUGUGCUGUGUGAGGGUGCUGUGUGUGUGAAGGUGCUGUUUGUGUGAUGUGUGUGUGUGUGAGGGUGCUGUUUGUGUGCUGUGUGUGAGUGUCGUGUGUUUGUGAGGGUGCUGUUAGUGUGCUGUGUGUGAGGGUGCUGUUUGUGUGUGAGUGUGAGGGUGCUGUGUGUGUGUUUGUGAGGGUGCUGUUAGUGUACUGUGUGUGUGAGGGUGCUGUGUGUGUGAGGGUGCUGUGUGUGUGGGUGCUGUAUGUGUGAGGGUGCUGUAUGUGUGAGGGUGCUGUGUGUGUGCUGUAUGUUUGGAGGGAUUGUGGGGGUGGAGGUGGGGACAGAUUAGUAAAUAUCCCCCUCCCUUCUUACCUUAUGUAGGGAGGGGGAUCCUUGCUGCCAUGUACCAUCCCUGGUGGUCCAGGGGAGAGUGAACUCUACCUGUGGGGUUCACUCUCGUGAGAUCUGAGCGUGGCCGUGGCCGAGAGGAACCCAGCGGAGCUGCUGGCUAGAGCUCCCCAGGUCCUCUCCUGCCUCUGUCCAUGCUGCUGUGGGCCGGUGAGGAAGAUCUUUGAUCUCCCCACCGGUCCAUGGAGGCUUAGAGCAGAGCCGGUGCACACUGAGCACACCCCAUGCACAUGCCUAUGCGGGGAAGUCAGUAUGGGAACUUCAGAGUAAGGCAUUGGACAAGUGAGGCCUGAGGAGAGAAAGGAUUCAGAGUUUGUCAUUAGGAGACUUGGAGAUUCAUUUUGUUACCAACUGCAAUUCGGUCAACUUCGUGCCGAUUCGGAGAUUGGCCAAAAUUCUAAUUUCCGAACCACCAGGUGCCACAAUCUUGGAACAAAUAACUUGUGCAAUACACAAUGGUAAUUGUUUUAAUUUGUGAUUCAGAGUGCUGUUUCUAGCACCAGUGUAGCAGAGCCCUAGUCCUAGCAGGGACUUCCCUGCGCUGGAUCACGCAAGAGUAAAAUCAGGAAUUACACCAAGUAAAUAUCCCACCUCCUCCCCAGCAACUGGAUGACACACAGUUCUGGGAGUACAACUGGUUAUAUUCCUGCAACACACUGCUUUUAUACAUUGCCCCUAGCAUGGGGUUUCUCAGUUACAAUUACAGGACUUUUCUUCCCAAGAGCCUCUGUGUCUGAGAGAUAAUUGUGUGAGAAAAAGCUAUAACUUAAUUAUCUCUCAGGUCCAGAAAAAUCUACAAUAUAUACAAUAUUUUAAAACAUCCCAAAAAUCCAUUUUAAUAACUUCAGCACCCCACCAAAGUCAUAUCACCGAAUAGCUUGGAUUUGAAAACAAGGCAAUGACAGGUCAUCUUUCAGGGGUUCUCAUACAAACACUGAUGAAUGGUUAUUAGAAUGCUCCCCGUGUUCGGUAGUUUAUGCCUCCCAAACACCGUUCUUCUAACUGUUUAGAAAGUUGGAUGGGCAGCGGUACCAGUUUCCCGGGCGUUUGCGGGGACGCGUAUACAAAAAUAGUUCCACGCCAUCGAUGAUCAUGUACCGCUGCCCUCGUUCAGGAGACAAAAUAGCCGCCAAUUGUUUGAACACGUGCGGCACACAAGGAAAGCACUUGAUCUAAUAACCCAUUUGUGGUUCACAGCCAGGGGUUGUCGGUGAUUAUGAAGGUGCGUACAAGGGACCACACAGCAAGUGGGUUCAGUAAAUGAAUGCGGCAUACGGACAGUCGAACAAAAGAGAAUAAAAAUAUAUUUGAGUUCUCCAUUCUACAACCAGAAAAAAUUCAAAUGGAAUGGAGAAGAGACUUUUGGGGAGUGGAAGAGGGGGGGAGGGUAGGUCAAAUAAGUAUUUUAGUUUACCAUGAUGGGCAAGAAGUCUGCCCAAUAUUGUGGGCUCUAUCUCCUGUCCAACCAAGAGGUGGAUAACACAAGUAUAUUGAUGGUUAAGGGUCAGUAAAUGUUGAUUUCAUUCACAGAUCAAGUGACUACUGACCAAUACAUGGGAAAAAAGAGGAGCAGUAAAACAAUCUAUACUUAAUCUAUAGUAGAUUACGUUUGGCCUGGGCCCUAGACAGGUUGCCUGAUUGGUGCACCCUCUUAGAGCUCUGAGCUCUGUUUCUGUGAGUGGUGUGUGGGAAUGUGGAUACUUGCUGAGGAUUGUGUGUGGAGGAGGAUGAGGGUUUUAUGGGGGAGGGGAAUGGCUAUUUAGCAUUAUGUACCUGUGUAUGUGCCUUAAAGCAUAUGUGGGUGCAUACCAUACUGACUAUGUCUAUGUCUCUGGCAUGUGUGUGCCUGCCACUAUCUUACAAGUCUCUUAAAGGCUUGUAAGAUGGACUGAGAUUAGAGCUAGAAAAAAGAGAUUGACAUAUGGUAUGAGUAAGCUUAAAACACAUCCUGUAAGUGACCCUCCAGCCCUAUAUUGACCAGAUACUAGAACCAUAGGUGAUUUUGCUGUUUUAGUGCUUUCUUGCUAUAAGACUCUAUAAGACAAAUCUAAGACAUAUUUGUCAGCACUGUUUAUGAAACUUAAUAACAGCUCAAAUAUGUCCUUUAGUUGAGUUGAAGAAAUGUUCUUACAACUGACGUUUAAUCUACAAAUAGACUGUUGUACAGUAGAAAUUCAUAUUUGCUAUUUCAGUAUUAACACAAAUUCUGAGAUAGUGCUGUGAUAUAUGUAAUACAUUUGUUCUCAAUUUUAUCCUUUGGGUUGUUUUACCUUAGAUGUUCUAUCUUUAAUUGUCUGUGGUAAAGCAGAUAACAGUAGUACGUUAGUGGCAUACAAUAUUGCCAUGUAGCUCACUUGUAAAGCUCAACAUUGUUUUAGUAUUCAUUGUGUUCUUAUACUUCAAUUACGGGAGGGAGGUAUUAAGAUCCAGAUCACUUUGCAGAGUUUAAUCCUGUUCUAUGUGCUUGCCAAGAGGUAUGGCAUGCAUGGAGCAAUGAUAUAAUUACAUCAGAUAGUAGUUGGGAAAAUAUUUUGGAAAUUCAUGGAUUAAUUGACAUGCACAGGUGCAAUGCACUCAGUCCUUGGACAUGAUAUAACUUUGCAAGUUCCUUAGCUAGCAGACGGGCCACAGGGGAGAUGAAAAGAUUUUCAGAACCAAAGCAAGAGACAUCUAAAUGGAAACUGACUGUCUUAUAACAGAUGCAGUCUAGCAAUUACAUAUUACAUAGUUACAUAGCUGAAAAGAGACUUGCGUCCGUCAAGUUCAGCCUUCCUCACAUUUGCUUUUUGCUGUUAAUCAAAAAGAAGGCAAAAAAAAAAAACAGUUUGAAGCACUUCCAAUUUUGCAACAAACUAGGGAAAAAAAUCCUUCUUGACCCCAGAAUGGCAGAUUUAUCCUUGGAUAAAGAAGCUAUUACCCUACAUUGAAAAAUGAUAUCCUUGAAUAUUCUGUUUUUCCAAGUAUGCAUCUAGUUGCUGUUUGUACAUCUGUAUGUACUCUGAUAAAACCACUUCUUCAGGCAGAGAAUUCCACCUACUUAUUGUUCUUACAGUAAAAAAACUUGUCUUUGCCUUAGAUGAAAUCUUCUUUCUUCCAGUCUAAACGCAUGACCUUGUGUCCUAUGUAAAGUCCGGUUUGUGAAUAGAUUUCCACACAGUGGUUUGUAUUGGCCCAUAUAUCUUUGUAUAAUGUUAUCAUAUCCCCUCUGAGGUAACGUUUUUCAAAACUAAAGAGGUUUAAAUUUGAUAACCUUUUUUCAUAGCGGAUAUGUUCCAUUUCUUUCAUUAAUUUUGUAGCCUGCCUCUGUACUUUUUCUAGUGCCAUAAUAUCCUUCCUUAGGACAGGUGCAGAGAAUUGCACAGCAUAUUCAAGAUGUGGUUUAACCAGUGAUUUAUAAAUAGGCAAAAUUAUAUUCUUAUCCCGAGAAUAAAUGCGCUUUUUCAUGCAUGACAAUACCUUACUGGCCUUAGCCACUGCUGACUGGCAUUGCACAUUGUUUCAUAGUUUGUUGUCUAUUACAAUUCCCAAGUCCUUUUUGUGUAUUAUCGCUAAUUCACUUCCAUUAAGGUUAUACGUUGCUUGUGCAUUCUUUACGCCGAAGUGCAUAACUUUGCAUUUUUCAACAUUAAAUUUCAUCUGCCAUUUGAGUGUCUACUACCCCAGUCUAUCUAAAUCCCUCUGCAGAAAAGUAAUAUCUUGCUCACAUUGUAUUACUUUACAGAGGUUUGUGUCAUCAGCAAACACUUAAACAUUUAUAGAAGAGAUAAAAAAUCUCACAGACAAGGAGUUAAUAGUGUGAAUAGAGGUAUUACUCUGACUGGAAAUGAUAGGGUUCCCACCAAAUCACCCCAAAGUGCAAAGUAAAGAUAAAGGAUUAGAUUAAUUCUAAUUAUUAUCCAGGAGUAAUAUAGGAAAUAUAUCUGGUAAAAUGGUAUUGAUAGUAUUGCUUAUAAGUCAAUAUUGAUAAAACACAGUAUACAUAUGUAUUAAAUCUGCAAAUAUGGGAACCAGAUUUGCACCAAGUUAUGCCAGUCUUUUUAUGGGUAAAUGGGAGGAAGAAUUUAUUUGGACCCAUAACCCGUUUGGCGCAAGUCUGGUCCUAUGGUGACGUUAUAUAGAUGACUGCAUUUUUAUCUGUAUAGGAGAUGUUCUUUGGAUUCUUUUAAGGAAUAUUUACAUUUUAAUCCUUACAAUCUUAAAUUUACCUUUAAUCAAUCAAUAGAGAAACUAGAAUUUUUAGAUUUGUAAAUUUAUAUUAAAAACAACAAGAUAGAAACUAAAACAUUCAGGAAAUCAGUUGCAUGUAACAGUUUUAUUCCACAUGACAGUUUUCACAAAUCUACCUGGCUUAAUAAUAUACCCUUUAGCCGAAGAAUUAAACUAAACUGCUCGGAACCUGCAAUCUGUACUCAACAAAUUGAAGAGAUGAAGUCCCAAUUUCAAGCUAAAGGGUAUUCUGAAGACUUACUUGACACAGCUAUCAAAAAAACUACUGGAUUAUCAUGUUCACAAAUUCUAGAAACAAAAUUCAAAGACUCCACCAAUGAUUCAAAUAUCCCAUCGUUCAUCACUAGAUUUAACAAUCAAUCUAGCCAAGUAAAAAACAUUCUACAAAAACAGUGGAACAUCCUCAAAGGUGACCCACAACUAGAUGCAAUAUUAGGGAAUACACCUUCAAUUAAUAAUUCAAAGGCACCAAAUCUAAGCACCUUACUGGCACCAACCACUAAAUAGGAGAAACCAGAUGACAGAAACUCCAUAGAGUCCAAUAAUAAGAAAGGAUUUUGGAAAUGUAAAACAUGCAUAGCAUGUAGAAAUAAUCCAAAUCAACCAACACACAGCAAUGUAUUCAAUCAUCCUCAAACAAAAGAAAUAUUCAACAUCAAAACCCAUUCAAAUUGCAAUGGGUAUUGCUGUCCCUGCAAUAAGCUUUAUAUAGGAUGAACCUAGAGAGCACUUAAAACUAGAGUGAGCGAACACAUAAGGAACAUUAAAAAAGGUGUUCAUACACACAACCUUUCAAGACACUUUGAUAUUAAACAUGGAAUAAAUACAACAGAAUUAAACUUCAUGGCAAUACAGAAAAUGAAUAUUCAAUGGAGAGGAGGAGACCUAGGAAUAGAGUUGAAUAAAGCAGAAGCUAAGUGGAUUUUCAAAUUAGACACCUUAGAACCCAAAGGGCUAAAUGUGGACUUCAAGCUUAACGCCUUUUUAUAAUACUUGCCCUUUUUAUAAUAUUAACCCAUUCAUUCUUAUCUUUUUAUUUGAAUAUACAACUUUAUAGUAUUUUUCUUCUUUUUAAUACAUAUUUAUUCCAUGAUUUUAUCUCUUUUUUUCACUAGUGUCUAAGAUUUAAAGCUCAAUCUCUUUUCACUAGCAUCUUAUUUAUUCUCUUACAAAUUAUUUAAUUUUUUUAACUCACAUCUCUGUUCUUUAAUGAUUCUGUUUUAGCCUGGAAUAACUGAAUUAAGGUUAUAUUAUGCUUCUUUUCUAUUCAUUCUUUUAUUUAUUUUUAAAUAAGUAAUGUUAAACUGUCACUUUAAUUAUAUUAACAGAACAUCCAUAAAUGUAUCCCUAUAUUGUCUGGUUGCAUAUCUAAAAUCACUAUAUAUAUGACUUUUAAACAAGCACAUUUUUAUUGUCAGAAUCUUAAGUAUCUUUGAGAAAUUCUAUGCAUUCAUACCAUUGAACUUCUGAUAUAAUGAAAUCUCUGUAAUCUGUAAACAGACUUUUAAACAAAGGCAUUUUUUUUAUACUAAUGUAUUUUCCAUCCCAUGUAUUUCCAAGUUUAUAUAUAUUUUGUAAAUUAAUCAUCAAGCCAAAAUGUAUGAUAAGUAUUUAUUACAAAAGCCUAUUACAAAAGACUAUAACAAUCAUCUCUGGCAACCAAAAGGUUAAUAAAUAACAAAGACUACAUCAGCUAUUUAAACUCAUUCAAACAGCAUCUUCUGAUGAAGUGAGUACGCUCACGAAACGCGUAAGGACUUUGAAGCAUUUAGAUUUUCGGCACCAACGACAAAGCAUUGCCGAGCUGGAAAUUGGAACGCACAGAGGGGAAAUCGGUGGGACGCACACGGUCACAAGCAGAGCCUUACCAUCAACUGGCCGGAUUGCAGAACCCUGUAUCACAUCACCCUAAAAAUAUCAUCCAGCUCUUCCAUAUCCUCUUGGCAUAAUUUGUGAGUGCAAUUUUAACUUUACUCAGUUUUCGAAUAAAAAUGUAUUCGUUUAAACAGAAAACACUAUGGGAUUUUGUUUUAUCUUCCCAUAGAUUGAAGAUACUUCCUAUAAUUUGGGGUCUCUCAUAUGAUCUUAAAGUUUACAACUGAUUACGGAGAAACAUAGUGUACAAUAUUACAAUUAUAUACCAUUUGAAGAACCAAGAUUGUUUUUGUACUAUAUUAACAUCGCUUGUUUAGCAGAUAUACCCCAGCUAACACAGUAACUGGGAUAACUGCCAUCAGUUAACAUUUCAAAAGACUAUUUUUGCAACUGUAUCUAAAUAGAUUAUACAAAGUUGCAAACUAUUGUGGACUUUAAACAGCUCUUUUUAAACACUGAAGUUUUAACACUCAGAAUCCUUUUUUGUCAACCAGUACUUUUACAUUUUGCAUAUAAUAAGGCUAUUGUAUGGUGUAAUAUUUGCAGAUUUAAUACAUAUGUAUACUGUGUUUUAGCAAUAUUGACCUAUAAGCAAUACUAUCAAUACCAUUUACCAGAUAUAUUUCCUAUAUUACUCCUGGAUAAUAAUUAGAAUUAAUCUAAUCCUUUAUCUUUAUUUUGCACUUAAAUAUGACUUUCAAUGCUUUUUUCAAGAUUAUUUAUGAAUAUGUUAAAUAGAAGGGAUCCCAGAACAGAACCCUGAGGGACACCACUUGCCACCUCUGUCCAGCUUGAAAAUUUACCAUUAAUGACAACUCUUUCUACUCUAUUUUUAAGCCAAUGUUCUACCCAAGAACAAGAAUUUUCAUCUAGACUGAUUUCUUUGAGUUUGAACACUAAUCUAUUGUGUGGAACUGUAUCAAUUGCCUUGGCAAAACCCAAAUAGAUCACAUCCACUGCAAAACCCUGAUCUAUAUUUCUACUUACUUCUUCGUAGAAUGCAAUCAAGUUAGUUUGACAUGAACUGUGCUUCAUAAAACCAUGCUGAUUUUUGCUGAACCAUGUUCUUCUCAAGGAAUUCUUGAAUAUCAUCCCUUAACUAUCUUUCAAAUACUUUCCCAACCACAGAAGUUAAACUCACAGGUCUAUAAUUUCCAGGCAAGGAUUUUGAACCCUUUUUGAAUAUAGGAAGCACAUCUGCCCUACUUCAAUCCUCCGGAACACUUCCUGAAAGAAAAUAAUCUUGAAAGAUUUCUAGAUUUCACUUAUUUCUACACUUAGUUCCUUAAGUACUCAUGGAUGAAUACCGUCAGGCCCUGGAGCUUUGUUUAUAUUAACUUUCUUUGUUUCUGCAGCACCUUGUCUUGAGUUAACCAAUUACAAUUUUUCUGCAAGUUUUUAGCAGCAAUCAUUUGCACAUCUAUUGCCAUGGGUUCUUCCUUAAUAUAUACGGAGGAGGAGAAAUAGUUAUUUAAAAAUUCUGCCUUUUCCUGGUCUUCAUUAACACCCCCAUCCCAGUAUCUAGUGUACCUACACUUUAAUUUUUUUUAGAAUUUAUGUACUUAAAAAAAGCUCUGUGGUUGGUUUUGCUCUCUUUGGCGAUCAUUUUUUUCAUUUUAAAGUUUAGGGAAUCUAAUCGCCGUUUUGUACACAUUAUUGGCUUCCUUAUAUCUUUUUGGCUUUAACUCAUGGUUGACAUACAAACAUACCCUACCACCAUUCCUGUUUUUUUCUGUCCUUCCUAAAUAGUGUGUACCAAUUUAAGUUAACUGCCCAGUCAUGUGUCUCAUCCCACCAUGUUUCAGUUAUGCCUAUUAUGUCAUAUUGUUUAGUGUAUACUAUUGCCUCUAGUUCCCCAAUUUUGUUAUUUAGGCUCCUUUAGUAAACAUACAUUUAAUAUUAUCAUGAGUCAUUUGUACUUUUUGUAAAAAAAUCAACAUUACAUACCUUAUCUAUUCUGAGCUUGCCCCUCCCCCUUAUACUGAGCUAAAGCUUAUCUCCUUUCUGUCCUAUCUCCAUUUUGUAGAUUGCUAUGACCCUCCCACCUACUACUAGUUUAAAAAUCUCAUCCAACCUUCUAGCCAUCCUAUCCCUCAGCACUGCAGACCCUCUCCCAUUUAGGUGUAACCCAUCACUGCUAUAAAGGUUGUAGCAAAGCACAAAGUCGGCCCAGUGCUCUAAAAACCCCAAACCCUCCUUCUUGCACCAAGAUUCAGCAACGCACUGACCUCUCUAAUCUCCUGCUGCUUUUCCACUGUAGCACAGGUAAUAUCUCAGAGAAUACCACCUUGGAGGUCCUUUUCUUAAGUUUGCUACCUAAUUCCCUGAAAUCAUUCUUUAGGACUUUCCAUCUUCCUCUUACUUUGUCAUUGGUACCAACAUGGGCCAUGACCACUGGGUCACCCCCAGCCCCUCCCAAUAAUCCAUCCACUCUGUCAGCAACAUGCUGGACCUGAGCACCUGCAAGACAGCAAACUGUCUGGUCAAGCCGAUCAGAGUGGCAGAUUGUCCUAUCUACCCUCUUAAUGAUAGAGUCCACUACCACCACAACCUGUCUAGCCUUCCUUACAUUUUCAUCCCCACCCGUACUAGAGGGCCUGUUCCCUCGGCUGCUAGAAGGAACAGCUUCCUCUAACACAGCUACUCCUGAGCUGAUGCUCCCAACAUCUUCACUCAAACUGGCAAAUCAGCACAAAAUCAGAACUAGCUAGCCCUUUCCUCUUCCCUCCUCCCCUGCUUCCUUGCCCCACUAUCACCCAGCUACGUCUUAUCUCAUCCCACUACACUACCUGUCCCCACUAAACUCUGCUCAGUGAGCAAACAGACUCCUCUCAAAAUUGUCGAUCUCAAAUCUGAGCUUCCAGAGAAGCCACUCACACACACUUGUCACAAAGGUAUGGACCCUGGACGGGUACAUCCAGGCAUGCAUACAUGUAACAAGAUGUGCAUUCAGUCAAACCAGCAAUCUUGCUAACACUCAUUUCCCCAGAUACAGAGCAGUAAAACAAUUACCUUGCUAGUUUAAACCCCUUGUUUGUUUGUUUUUUGUUUUAACGCCUGGUUGUCCAAAUCCUACUUGAAAGAGUUUGCUUUCAAGCAAUGUGAGCAAGUUCAGUGAGUUAGGGGUGUGCUUAUAUGGGAAUACAAAUCCCACACAGGUGGCAAUUAAGGACCACUCCCCCAAUUAAUCAAGUAGCAGCAUAAAGGGGGGGAAAAAACAGAACACAGAAAUAAUAAAAAAAAUAAAAAACAAACCACUCUCCACAGUAUACAAACCACUCUCCAAUGAACUACUAACUACUAACUCCUACUUGCAAUAACCCAUCUGAUAAUACAAUUGACGUCAAUCACAUUGUCAACAUACAUUAUGGCUCAUACUGCAACCCACAUUUCACUGUGUAUGGAAGUAUUGGUAUGUGUGAGACAAAGGCUGAAAAAUAUGAUAAAUAACCCACUAGUUAGACUGUAAAGAAAAAGGGAAUGAAUAGGCUUACAGUGCAUUCCAAUGUUUGUAAACAUACUUGUCAUUUCCCCCUCUUCUCUUCAUGCAGCACUGUGACAGAGAUCUUUAUUGUGGUAAAGUAAGAGCAACUCUCACCCACUUCUACUUGUUGUGAUAAUAAAGGGAUCUAGUUGCAGUAUAUUGUCAUACAUUGAGUAAGUCUGUCAUCGUUACCUCAUUUUUGACCUAUUUAAUGACCAUUAUUAUUAAAUUAACCAUUUUACAGGGAACAUUUACCCUUCUAGGGCUCUUUACAUUUCAGGCUUUUAAUGUGGCACCUGGGUCAAGGAGGGUGCAAAACCUAGGGGAUUUGGCCAAAGCCCCUAAUCUAGAUAUGUAUAGAGAACAGAAGGAGUGCCUUUAUCAGAGCAUACAUCAUAUUUAUUGGUCCUGCUGUGACAAAUACAUACAGCCUACAAAAUACAACUCACUCAACUUCAAACCAGCUUUAAAGCCCAUAAUGCUUUUAAAAUAAUUGUAAUUAAAAGGUUAUUUUCAAGCACCAUGACCACUUCAGUGAUUGGAAGUGGUCUUGGUGCCUGGAGUCUGUAUGUGCAGGGUUUUGCUUUGAAAUGCUGUACAUACAAAAAUUAACUCAUUAGCCGCUGGAUGUGCAACUCCACACAGGACUCCAUUUGCCAGGUUCUACUCUAAAGUAUACAUAAUGGUAAACUAUAACUAAUGGGAAAAUAAUGACAUCAAGAAACCCCACAAAAUACAUAUAAUCAGACACUGCAGUGGUUUAUAUAUUAAUAUCUCCAGAACCUUGUGUUGACAUUAUUUUUUCUUAAUACUAACAUCUCCAUUAUGUAUUUUCUAUGUAUCACUCAAUCAUGCAAUGUUAAUAAGGAAAUGAAAGAGCAAGCAUUGAUGCAAUUCAGAAGUAGUGCAAGUAAUUUUAUAUUGUCAUAGAGCAAGGACCCUGUUUGUGCAGCUUUGAAACACUUAGAUAGCUAAUGUUGCUGCCAAAGGUAUAACUCCACCUCCAACAUCUCAUUAACAAAGCCCGGAAACCACUGGGUCAGUUUUGUACUUUUUCCUUGCACAUGCAGUUAUUCAUUGGUUGAGAACACUCAGACGUCACUCUCAGCCAAUGAAUAAAUGGCGAGAUCUACAUCUGGCUUCUGCAGCUCUGAAAAAAUCCAGAUGUCGUGCUGCUGGCAUUGAGAGAGACACGGCACCUGUAGAGACUUAGGUAUGAGGAAAACUGUUUCAAAAUGGUUUGUUCCACUUCUGGGGAAAGCCAGUGUACUCCUCACAUCAUUAUCAGUACAGUGGUCUGUAAUGCUAAUGAUGCUCUGAGUAACCCUUUAACUUCACAAAACCCUCAUAAAUAUGUUUUAUAUAUAUAUAUAUAUAUAUAUAUAUAUAUAUAUAAAACUUGAAUGUUAUUUUUAUUUGGGAAUAAAAGGGUACAGAAAGCAAAAAAGGAGGCCAGGCAAUGUGUACAUGAAGGGUAUGGGUUGGAUUUUACUGCUUUUGGAAGAUUUGUAAAAUAAAAACUGCUUCACUAACCUGAAAUUGUCUGGAAAUGUUAAAUUUUAAGACAAAAUCUUGAUGAUAAUACAUGAUAUUGACAGAGAAAGAUUGGAAAAACCUAAACAUUUCAGAAAGUGCUUUAAUUCACCUGAAUUUGGGGUUGCUGAAAUUUCUUAAUAAACAUCAACACUCUGACUGUGUAAUUUGAGGGUGGUGACAAAACAUUUUAUUUUUACCUUUUAAUAUAUUGAAGUUUAUAAUAAUGUUUAUGUUGUUGGAAUGUACACAAGUAUAUUUGUUUGAUGUUCUUCUUUCACCUUAUCAUAUUUGUUUACAUUUCUUUAUAUUUUGCAUUUAUUUUGUUAACAUUUUUUUAAUAAAAAAAGAAAAACAUUUGCGCAAGGUUCUUACAGUAUAAAUUUUUAAAAGCAAAAUAAUUUAAAAUACAGUUGUACAAGUGGCUUCUUACAUGAAGUAUGCAGCUGAUGGAGUUGACAAAUGAGAUUUGUAAAUGUGAGCGUAACUGUAUAAUCGCGUUGUGCAAUAAUAGUCAUAAAUAUAUUAAUGAGUAUGACAUGAAGAUAUGUCAGUCACAAUUCUGCUCCAUGCAGUCAGUCAAGGCCAAAACUGUUCUUCAGUUUUACGAUCUGACUGCAAUGAGUGAGAUGAUUGUUUUACCAGGUCUGCCUAUUUAUAAAGCUGAGGUUGAAUGUCUGCACAUAAAGGACAUAAUAAGUCAAAUGGUUAUGACCCACAUUAUUAUUUUAAGCUACAGCACCAAUUAGUUACUAAACAAUAAGAAGCAUGUAGUAUCCAUUAUCAUGAACAGAUGUUCCUGUGGGAUGCAUAUUAUAUAAAUAAAUAAGAAAAACCAUGCAAAAAACAUUGCCAUUUUUUUAAAUUACCCAUGGGACACUAAAAAAAAAUCAAACUCAAUACAUAAAUAGAAAGAGUCUGUGGUAUAUACGCAGUGUUGUUACUGAAAAAUUAUUGUUAUUUGAAAAAAACAACAUACAAAAAGUAGGUUCUAAAGGAAAUAGGUAAGUUUAUUUAAAAAAAAAAAAAAAGACCCGACAGUACAGGUAAGCUUCACUUAUGCAGCAAACUGCCACGCACACACUGAGGGAAGAAGUUUGCGGUUUCCAAACUAUUUGCAGUGGCACAGAAACACACUGCAGAUCUAAUAAUCCAUCUUUUACUAGAAAUAAAAUAAAUCACAAAUCAUCAAGCUCUGAAAGACACGCACACAGGGAAGCCCACAAUAGUGAAACACCGUUUAUAGCAAAAAAAACCCAACAUUUAAAAACAUAUAUAUGCUCACAGUUUGCAGUGCUAAACACAGCAUUGCAUUUUUUGCUGUUUGUGUUCAACUGCAAGGGCCAUCGGCGCAGGACCCAUUUUACUAAUUUAUUGCACCAACACAUAAAAUAUACUGUUUUAUAAAGGACAAAAAGGUCUUUAAUUUGAUGUAACAUAUACAUAUAUAAAUGCUCAUUUAUACUAAAAAAAUAUUUUUAAAAAUAAAAAAAGGAAAAUAUAUAAUUCUUUUACAGUUUGUGCAAUAAUAAUGUGUGCAUAAUUAGUACAGGUUAAAGAAAGUAAUUAAAAAUAAAUUAAUUUAGUUGUUCUGAUUUGCAGAAUAUAUAAUGCGUCUAGGAUUUGAAGUUUUUUUUGGUAGUGACAGGUCACAAAACACAAGGAGUAAAAUAAACUUUUAAUGUUGAGCGAUUUUAGAAUUUGGUAUGUUUGUCUUGUAAGCUUAAUAGCCAUAAAACAAAAACAAAAUUGCCACAUAAAAGUAUAUAUUUGUAUAAAGUAGACAUAACAGGCUAUUUACCUGAGGUUAUUUUGACACUUUUUAUGUAGCCAUUUCACCGCCAAUCUCUGCUAAAUAUUGGAUUAAAAUUGGGAUUUUUAUUGUUUUUGACACAAAAAUUUAUAACAAAGAUCUUCUCAUGUGUAUUUCGUAAAGUUGGUGUGUACUAUUCCUGUACAACUUUAUUUUGUGUUUAGCUACAUCUUCUGAGUACAACGAUACCCCCAUUGUAUGUCUUUGGCAAUAUUUUAUGAAGCUACAGUGCCAUAUAGGAGACCUGUCCAUUUCAGUAUUUACAAUAGAAUUUUAAGAGAUGGAUUUAAUGGGCCUAUGUUUCAAUUCGGGGUAUUAUAGCAAUUUGACUGUUCAAAAAAAAACCACAAAGGCCUACCAUUUGUAAAAGUAGACACUCCAGGGUAUCUCAUAUGGUGCAUAUUGUGCCUUAACAUGCCCCCAUUUUUUUUCACCAAUAUAUGCCGAAGUAUGUGGUAAAAAAUAAUUUUGGGCAUUUUUUACAUACAUAUUACAUUUUUGCUGGGCAUUUUGUAUAUUUGAUAUGUGCCACUAAGUUCAAACCCUCCAAAUUAUGCUCAGCUAAGACUUCUGAGUAAAAUGAUACCCCCAAUGAAUGUCUUUGGCACUAUUUUGUGAAUCUACAGUGCCAUAUAGGAGACCUGCCCAUUUCAGUAUUUACAGUAGAAUUUUGAGAGACGGAUUUGAUGGACCUAUGCUUCAAUUUGGGGUAUUAUAGCAGUUUGACUGCUCAAACAAAACUCGCAAAGGCCUACCAUUUGUAAAAGUAGACACUCCAGGGUAUCUCAUAUGGUGCAUAUUGUGCCUUAACAUGCCCCGAUUUUUUUUCACCAAUAUAUGUCAAAGUAUGUGGUAAAAAAUAAUUUUGGCAUUUUUUACAUACGUAUUACAUUUUUGCUGGGCAUUUUGUAUAUUUGAUAUGUGCCACUAAGUUCAAAGCCCCACAAAUAUGCUUAACUAAGUCUUCUGAGUAAAAUGACACCCCCAAUGAAUAUCUUUUCCACUAUUUCGUGAAAGUGCAGUGCCAUAUAGGAGACCUGUCCAUUUCAGUAUUUACAGUAGAAUUUCUAGAGACGGAUUUGAUGGGCCUAUGUUUCAAUUUGGGGUAUUAUAGCAGUUUGACUGUUCAAGAUAAAAUCACAAAGGCCUACCAUUUGUAAAAGUAGACACUCCAGGGUAUCUCACAUGGUGCAGAUUGUGCCUUAAUAUGCACCCAACCUUUCACCAAUAUAUGUCAAAGUAUGUGGUAAAAAAUAAUUUUUGGCAUUUUUACAUACGGAGUACAUUUUUGCUGGGCAUUUUGUAUAUUUGAUAAUUGCCACUAAGAUCGAAGCCCCAAAAUUAUUCUCAGCUAAGUCUUCUGAGUAACAUGAUACCCCAAUGAAUGUCUUUGGAACUAUUUUGUGAAGCUACAGUGCAAUAAAAGAGACCUGUCCAUUUCAGUAUUUACAGUAGAAUUUUGCGAGACGGAUUUGAUGGGCCUAUGUUUCAAUUUCAGGUAUUACAGCAGUUUACUGUUAAAAAAAAAACCCCACAAAAGCCUACCAUUUGUAAAAGUUGACACCCCAGGGUAUCUCAUAUGGUGCAAAUUGUGCCUUAAGAUGCCCCCAUUUUUUCACCAAUAUAUGUCAAGGUAUAUUGUAAAAAAUAAUUUUUGCAUUAUUUACAUACAUUUUAAAUUUUUGCUGGGCAUUUUGUAUAUUUGAUAUGUGCCUACCAUUUGUUAAGUUGACACCCUAGGGUAUUUCAAAAGGCAUAUUUUAAACUUUUAAAUGUUUUUGCUAGCUUUACCAAGUCUAGUAGCAAUUAGCAUUUUUUUCUGUCUUUUUGACACACACUUGGAGAUGUUACUGUAUAUUUUGCAAUCCUUAUGUGUGCUACAGCAGUAUAACACCUAAUAUGUUACUCAGCUAUGUCGUCUUAGUACAACAAUACCCCCAUGUGUACCUUUUUCAGGACAAUGUGGAUGUUGAAGGGGCACAUCGGAGACCAAGCCAAAUCAGUUUUUACCAAACUUUGAAUUAUGAUGCUGGGCCCAUGUGCAAUUUUCAAGCAUCUUAGCAGGUUUUUAAUUCAAAAUACAAUUUUUUAAAGUAGAUGCCCCAGGGUAUUUCAAAAGGCAUAGUUUAAACCUUAGCGUAGGAUCAUUUUUUUCUAGUUUUUACCCAGUCUAGUAGCAAUUAGCAUUUUUUCUGCCUUUUUGACACACAAUUGGAGAUGUUACAGUACAUUUUUAAAUCCUUAUGUGUACUAUGACAGUAUAACACCUAAUAUGUUGCUCAGCUAUGUCAUCUUAGUACAACAAUACCUCCAUGUGUACCUUUUUUAGGGAUAUGUGGAUGUUGAAGGGGCACAUUUGAGACACCGAUUUCAUAUUUUUCAAAAGUGGAUGCUGGGCCUAAGUCUCAUUUUAGCAGCUCAUGAUUGUAAAUUACCUCUCAAAGGCCACAUCUAUUUUUAAAUAUAAGCCACUCAUCAAUUCAAAUUAUGAACAAGUGCAUACUAUUUGCUGUGAAAGGAGGAAUAUUUGGUGUAAACUUAUCAGGGGGUAGUACCCAGUCUUGGUGUCACGGCGCAACACUAUCACGGAUUGCGGAACCAAAACACAGACAGACCACAAAGAGAGAGUACACAGAGAAAGAAACUUGUAAUACCAGUCCUUAGAAUGGCUAUACAAGCAGAGAAUAGUAAAGUUACGAGUCAUGGUCAAAGGAGUAAAGAUAAACAGAACAGUGAUAGGCCAAGCCGAGGUCAAGGAUCAGAGAAGACAGGAUAAACAGAGACAAAGCCAAGAUUCGGUAACCAAACAAUCAGACAGAUGACUAAAAUCACACCGGUUUACUUAUUCGGCCUAGGUAUGGAAAAUUAUAUAUACGUAGGCUGGGCUGAGAGGGGCAAUCAGGGCAGUAAUAACUGGUCUCAGCUCUUACACUCUUUUUGUAAUACACCCUGUACCUUCUGGGGUGGGGGGAGGUUCUGUUUGGGAGUUGAUAGAAUCCUGAAGCAGAAGUGACCUGCCACCUUUCUUCUGCUAGGCUCCACUGAUGGUCCACCUCUGUGGCACUCAAGCAGCCCAGAAAUGAGCUAAAUCUGAAAUGAAGGCAAUGUGCCUCUCAGCUCAGCAUUUGCCUUUUUGAAAAAUUACAAAGGCAUUGUGGAUUGCCGUCUGCAUUAUAUAUAUGCCCACUUUAUUAUACCAUGCCCUGGUCUUUCGCAUGAUCAAAUAUGACUGCAUCAGUUGAUCAGACAGGUCAACUCCCCCCAUAUGCUGAUUGUAAUGUUUAUGCAGACUGGCACCCAUUUAAUUUCCCCUCUGCCAUGAACUGCAACCUUGCAAGUGCGUUCACCAUGGAUGGUGGUUAGGAUGAACACUUUUUAUCUCAGUACAAAGUACUGCGAUUUUUUUUCUGCUAGAGCCUUUGGGAAACUUGUGCAACUCUUCCGAAUAGUGCCACAGGCCACCGUCUAAAAGCAGUACAUAAUUUUUAGAAGUGGGAUACUAUUGUAAAAAUUAUCGAUACACAAGUGAUAUCCCUUGUUUAGUAAUGGCAUUAUUAGGUCCCAUACAAUUUUCUAUAUAUCUGGACAACCUGAGGUGGCUAUCCCUUCCUUUGUAUACACGGAAGGUAUACACAUAGCCACUGCCACUUUCACACAAUUUAUAAAAUUUCAUCCCAUAUCGGGAUCUUUUGUAUGGGAUGUACUGUUUAAACUCUAGUCUUCCCUUAAACUUCAUGAGGGAUUUGUCAAUAGAAAUAUUUUUUGGGGGGGGUAUGGUGGCACAUUUUUCAUUAAAGUGGGCAAUUAGAGGGCAUAUUUUAUAUAUAACAUCAUACUGUGGAUGACCUUGGCCAUAAGAGACUCUUGAUUGUGCUUCCUGGCCAUAAGAGACUCUUGAUCUCCCCAAAAAUAUCAUCCCCCAUGAACAGCUGCAUACAAUCCAGCGCAUUAUAGCCACACAUGUCAGCCUGUAUGCCAGGAUUGGCAGUGAACUCUGGGAUGUCUAGUGAAAAAUUAUUAGCGAGUACCCAGUCAUCUGCGACAUGUUCAACAUCAGGGGAAUCAGCGAUUUCUCCUGAUGGUCCUGCAGUGUCUGUCACAUAGUCCCUGUCCCCUGCGUCACUCCCUCCUUCAUUCUCUGAGGCAGUGUCUGUCGCCUCUGAGUCAUCCACUAAAGAGGGCAUAAGCCUCCUCUGCACUAUACUUCCUAAGCAUUCUGUACCAUGUUAAUAAACUUUAACUAAAUAACAAAACUUUAAUUUUUGUAACUUUUUUUCCUUUCUACCCUUAACUAGCUUAUCACUAAAUUCCCCAAUUUCCACUAAAUUCCACCCACCCCAACUAACUAAUUCAUAAAUUAAUAAAAUAAUAUAUUAAACUUUAACCCCUUAAAAAAUCUAAUUUAACCCCUGAGGGUAAAAAAAAAAAUCUAUAUCACAGUAAAGUACUGGGAUCUCUAUUUUGAUCACUGCUGGCAGUGAUCAAUCAUCAGGAAAAGGGUUAAUUUAAAAAAAAAAAACAGGGUAAAGGGGAUUUGGAACCUCUUCAGACAAUUUAUUCACUUAAGGGACACAGUAUAACAAUGAUCUGUCUCUCUCCACUUCAAAAACCCACAAGAGGUGGAGGGAGGCAGUUCUGACAUCCCAGCAGCAUUGUGACCGCUGGCUGUGACAUCACAAUUUGCUGUUGCUGGUCUGCCCCUUGAAGCACCCAGCAACAGCGUUAACCCAGCUACCGCAGCAAUCUGGGGUUAAUUAUAGCACAAGGGUGGAACAGAUUCUACCGAUGAUGCAUUAGCCCACGGAGCUAUCUCCCUGGCAUUAUUUAAAGGACACUAUAGACACAGGGAUGUUUUAGCCAUGAGGCAAAUAAGGCAUUUGCCUUGGGCGGCAUUUUUAAGGGGGCAGCAAAAAAAGCAGCCCCCAAAUGCCCAGGCAAAUACCUUGUUAGCCUUGCGGCUAACAGUCCGGGCGGGCAGGUAGGAAGGCAAUGCGGGCGGGCGGCGCUGGCGAGGGAGCAUUUUCCCCUGAGCUCUCUGCUCUGACGUCAUAUUCCGGUGCCCAGCAUCACUCUGCGGGCGGCGCACGAGGGAGCUGAGCAGAGAGCUCAGGGGAAGUGCUCCCUCGCCAGCAGGGACCCCCCCCCAGCAUUCCCAAAGGUAAGGAGGCUGGGGGUUAAAUAAAAAAAAGUGAGUGUGUUAAUGUGAGUGAGUGUCUGUGUGUGUCUGUUAGUGUGUGUGUCUGACUGUGUGUGUCUGUUAGUGUGUGUGUGUCUGUGUGUGUGAGACUGAGUGUGUCUGACUGUGUGUCUGUUAGUGUGUGUAUCUGUUAGUGAGUGUGUGUGUCUGUUAGUGAGUGUCUGUUAGUGUAUGUCUGUUAGUGUGUGUGCGUCUGUUAGUGUGUGUGUCUGACUGUUUGUGUCUGUUAGUGUGUGUGUGUCUGACUGUGUGUGUCUGUUAGUGUGCGUGUCUGACUGUGUCUGUUAGUGUGUGUGUGUUAGUGUGUGUGUGUUAGUGAGUGUGCGUGUGUCUGUUAGUGUGUGUGUGUCUGACUGUGUAUGUCUGUUAGUGUGUGUGUGUGUGUGUCUGUUGGUGUGUGUGUGUCUGACUGUGUAUCUGUUAGUGUGUGUGUGUUAGUGAGUGUGUGUGUGUCUGUUAGUGUGUGUAUCUCACUGUGUGUGUCUGUUAGUGUGUGUGUGUCUGACUGUGUGUGUCUGACUGUGUGUGUGUUUCUGUUAGCUAGUGUAUGCGUAUCCGUCAGUGAAUGUGUGUGUGUGUAUAUUUAGAAGGCGGGGCAGGGGGGAAGGGUUGGGUGAGGGUGGCGUGCACAAAACCAAGAUACACCACUGUAUAGACAGUAACACAACCAUAACCUAAAUGAAUCUGUUAUGGUGCCAGGAGGCCCAAAAGACACUCUUACUUAAAGGAGUUAAACAGUUUUUGAACAGUUUAACACGACAGAUGCCUCAAGAGUGAUGUCCACUAGCUCCCAGGCAGCAUCACUACAUAAUUUCUCAGUCUCAGCCAAUCAGUGACUCCCCAUUCACAAAACUGGCUUUGAAAAGGUACAUUUCUUUACAAGUCAGUUUUGUAAAUUGGUAGCGGUUAAUUGGCUGACAGCAUCACCCUGCCCAGUACCACUCUGAAAAUUCAGAAUAUGGAUGUCAUCAGGGGCCUCCUGGCACAAAAUAAAAGUAACAUUUUAUUGCUAAACUUACCCUUUAUUAUAUUAUAGAUCCUAAUAAGUCUUAACGAUUUAGACAGAAGCAAACAUAGACACACUGAUCAGUCACAACUUUAAAACCACCUGCCUAAUAUUGUGUAGGUUCCCCUCAUCCUGCUAAAACAUCUCUGAUGUGUCGAGGCAUGGACUUCACAAGACCCCUAAAAGUGUACGGUGGUAUCUGGCAUUAAUACAUUAUCAGCAGAUCCUUUAAAUUUGCAAGGUGGGGCCUCCAUGGAUCGACUUGUUGUUCCAGCACAUCCCACAGAUGCUCAAUUGGAUUGAGACCUGGGAAAUUUUAAAAACUGUGAACUCUUUAAAAACUGUGAACCUCAAAUCACUCAAAUUUCAUGUUCCUCAAAAUUUUUGCAGUGUGGCAGGUUGUAUUAUCCUGUUGAAAGAAGAAACUGCCAUCAGGGAACACCAUUGCCAUGAAGGGGUGCACGUGGUCUGCAACAAUCUCUA
Pelobates cultripes (western spadefoot toad) is the source of this 24588-nucleotide non-coding RNA. The record is from the annotation of a GenBank genome assembly. NCBI's taxonomy places the organism in Eukaryota, Metazoa, Chordata, Amphibia, Anura, Pelobatidae.